CCAAACAAGCCCACCAUUCCUCAGGAGAAAAUCCGACCAUUGACCAGUUUGGACCACCCACAGAGCCCCUUCUACGACCCUGAGGGAGGGGCAAUUACUCCCAUCGCCAAGCUGGUGAUGGAACGCAUCGCUAGAAAGGGAGAGCAGUGCAAUGUGGUCCCAGACAACAUAGAUGACAUCGUAGCUGAUAUUGGACAGGAGGACAAGGAGGAAGAUGACAACCAA
Molecule: long non-coding RNA, 225 nt
Organism: Notothenia coriiceps (black rockcod)
Lineage: Eukaryota; Metazoa; Chordata; Actinopteri; Perciformes; Nototheniidae
Exons: 3
Source: RefSeq, a predicted model, not a curated record